ACAGCAGUAGCCGCGGUAGUACGUAGGUCCCGAGCGUUGUCCGGAUUUAUUGGGCGUAAAGCGAGCGCAGGCGGUUAGAUAAGUCUGAAGUUAAAGGCUGUGGCUUAACCAUAGUACGCUUUGGAAACUGUUUAACUUGAGUGCAAGAGGGGAGAGUGGAAUUCCAUGUGUAGCGGUGAAAUGCGUAGAUAUAUGGAGGAACACCGGUGGCGAAAGCGGCUCUCUGGCUUGUAACUGACGCUGAGGCUCGAAAGCGUGGGGAGCAAACAGGAUUAGAUACCCCCGUAGUCCCUGUCUCUUAUACA
This 305-nucleotide ribosomal RNA is filed under the name uncultured bacterium. RNAcentral describes it as "partial 16S ribosomal RNA". It matches the Rfam family "Bacterial small subunit ribosomal RNA", at positions 506 to 808 of the family's 1533-position model. The record is from RNAcentral.